RNAcentral lists this non-coding RNA (18 nucleotides) under Arabidopsis thaliana (thale cress). The record is from RNAcentral. Lineage: Eukaryota; Viridiplantae; Streptophyta; Magnoliopsida; Brassicales; Brassicaceae.
GGUCGUGCCUCCGGCGCU